This 969-nucleotide ribosomal RNA is filed under the name Prosthogonimus cuneatus. RNAcentral's name for it is "16S ribosomal RNA". The stretch from base 617 to 969 matches the Rfam family "Bacterial large subunit ribosomal RNA", at positions 2047 to 2709 of the family's 2925-position model. Lineage: Eukaryota; Metazoa; Platyhelminthes; Trematoda; Plagiorchiida; Prosthogonimidae. The record is from RNAcentral.
CAUUGGCUUUGUGGCUGGAAUAAUUUUAGUUUCUGUAGGUUUCGUACCUUUUGCAUCAUGAUUUCUUGAGUCUAUUAGAUUAUUUCUGUUUCUCGAAAGGCUUCGAUUUAGGUUUUGCCUGCUAUGCGCUUAGAGGUUUAUGGGUCAUAGUCUUUAGAGUUUGCCUAGGCGUGAUAAGUGUAACGUGUUGCCUAAUAUCUUGUUUUAAGGAAAGUGUUUUCGAAGUACCUGUGCUGCUCCGAUGUGGCACAGGUUUUAAGAGAGUUGUUUUUUUUUAAUUUAUUGGGUUAGAGGUACCCGUAUUUAUUAUUUGUGUUGCUACAUAGGGUUAGCUUAUUUUGCUCUUUAAUCUAGUUUCCUUUAGUUAACUAUUGAAGUUAGUAUGAGAAAAUUAGUAGUUUUAUUAAUCAGUUUUUUUCUCGGAAAUUGCCAGACUGUUUCUCAAAAACAUUUCCAUUAUAAAGGUUUAAUGGUACAGCCUGCCCAAUGUUUUUAUGAAUGGCCGCAGUAUUUUGACUGUGCUAAGGUAGCAUAAUUACUUGCCUUUUAAUUGGAGGAUUGUUUGAAAGGUGUUACUAGGUUAGUUUUCUAGAUGCUGAUUUUUUUUGAAAUUGGUAUGCUGGUGCAGAACCCAGUUUUUUGUAAUAAGACGGAAAGACCCCGAGAGCUUUGUAGGUUUACUUUUUUGGGGAAAAGGCUUAUUUUUUAUGUGUUUUCUGAUCCUUCUGGAUAACAGGUUUAAGCUACCUCGGGGAUAACUAGGUGAUAAAUAAGGUGAGUUCGUAUCUAUUUAUUUGUUUGCCAUCUCGAUGUUGACUUAAGGUUAGUGUGGUGGUGUAGGUGUUACUAUGCUUGGUCUGUUCGACCUUUAAACCUUUCAUGAGUUGAGUUAAGACCGGCGUAAGCCAGGUCGGUUCUUAUCUAUUGUUUACGGGGCUUCGUACGAAAGGAUUGGUCCUGUUUUAUGUU